Molecule: ribosomal RNA, 402 nt
Filed under: uncultured bacterium
Lineage: Bacteria
Description: bacterial SSU rRNA
Rfam family: Bacterial small subunit ribosomal RNA
Source: RNAcentral
UGGGGAAUAUUGCACAAUGGGCGAAAGCCUGAUGCAGCGACGCCGCGUGAGCGAUGAAGGCCUUCGGGUCGUAAAGCUCUGUCCUAAGGGAAGAACUGUGACGGUACCUUAGGAGGAAGCCCCGGCUAACUACGUGCCAGCAGCCGCGGUAAUACGUAGGGGGCGCGCGUUGUCCGGAUUUACUGGGCGUAAAGGGUGCGUAGGCGGCCUAACAAGUCAGGGGUUAAAGCCCUCGGCUCAACCGAGGUAAGCCCUUGAAACUGUUAGGCUUGAGCGCAGGAGAGGAGAGCGGAAUUCCUAGUGUAGCGGUGAAAUGCGUAGAUAUUAGGAAGAACACCAGUGGCGAAGGCGGCUCUCUGGACUGCAGCUGACGCUGAGGCACGAAAGCGUGGGGAGCGAACA